GGGAAGCUGUGGGGAGCCAUCCCUACUCUGAACUGGGGAGACGAGGAGAAAGAUGAAGAGGCAGCGGCAGCCGGAGAGGCGCGCGGAGACAUAGGACAGAUGUGCAUUCUGCGAGGCUAAAUUUCAAAGGGAUGAAAGUGUCAUAUGGCUGGAAGGGACCUUGCGAAAUGAGUUAGUGCAAGAACAGUGACAUCUACAGCAAUAGUGAUGCCAUCUGUCUGUGUGGAGUUGUGGAAUUAUCUGCAGAGGCAGUGCACCCGGCGUGGCUUUGAGACUGUGAGUCAGGAUGGAUUCUCUACCACUGGACCACCAGGGAACUCCCCAGUUAAAGAUCUUGAAAUGGGGAGAUUUUCCAGGAUUAUCCAGUUGGGCCCAGGCAGAGGGAGAUCACACACAAAAGAGGAGGAAGCCACGUGGAGAUGGAGGCAGAGACUGCAGUGAUGCAGCCACAAGCAAAAGCAUGCUGGCAACCACUAGAAACUGGAAGAGGAAGGGCAGGGCUUCUCGCCUGGAGCCUCUGCAGGGAGCAUGGCCCAAGGAUGCCUUGAUUUCUGCCCAGUGAGACUGAGGUUGAACUUCUAGUCUUUGGAACUAUGAGAGAAUAAAUUUCUGUUGUUUGAAGCCACCAAGGUUGUGGGAAUUUGUUACAGCAGCCACAGGAAAUUAACACAGGCACACACACACACACACACACACACACACACACAAAGUUUAGGUGUCUGUUGUUGGAGCAGUCUGGAAAGCCUGUGGCUCCCUUCUCAGAAGAAUGGUUUCACAUCAUAACAUAAA
Long non-coding RNA from Hippopotamus amphibius kiboko, 789 nucleotides. RefSeq lists it as uncharacterized. NCBI's taxonomy places the organism in Eukaryota, Metazoa, Chordata, Mammalia, Artiodactyla, Hippopotamidae. The transcript is spliced from 3 exons. The record is from RefSeq and is a predicted model, not a curated record.